GUGUAACUUUCAAAAUAUGUAGAAUAUUUAGGUAUUUUUUGUAUCAAAUGAAAGCUGAAGGACUGGUGAUCAUUGUAGAACACUUUUGGACUUUUAAUUUUGAAUAUUAAAAAACCUGCACCAAAUUUUAAAAAGAGGUUACAUUUUGUCUGUUUGUCAGAUCUGAAGUACCUGUUUGGGUACAUCCGAAGUUCUGGGAACCAGUUCUUUCUUAUAUGCAAUUAAAGGUAUGUUGAUUUUUUCAGUACAAGACACUAUGAAGUGUUGCUUUGCAAUGCAAUGAUUGCCACUUUAUUUGAACUUAAAACAAAAGAGUUGUGCCUGCUUGAAACGGAGGAACUUAAC
This 345-nucleotide long non-coding RNA is filed under the name Mytilus galloprovincialis (Mediterranean mussel). The record is from RNAcentral. Lineage: Eukaryota; Metazoa; Mollusca; Bivalvia; Mytilida; Mytilidae.